GUCAGUUUGGCCGAGUGGUUAUGGCGUGUGACUCAAGCGGCAUCAGCAACUCAUCUGAGUUCUGAUCAGCUUCAUCCGUAAUAGCGGUUGAGCAUUCUCAUAGGGUUUCCCUGCAAGGGUUCGAAUCCCUUAGCUGACA
Non-coding RNA from Macroventuria anomochaeta, 139 nucleotides. The record is from the annotation of a RefSeq genome assembly. NCBI's taxonomy places the organism in Eukaryota, Fungi, Ascomycota, Dothideomycetes, Pleosporales, Didymellaceae.